This 327-nucleotide ribosomal RNA is filed under the name Triticum aestivum (bread wheat). RNAcentral's name for it is "partial small subunit ribosomal RNA". Lineage: Eukaryota; Viridiplantae; Streptophyta; Magnoliopsida; Poales; Poaceae. The record is from RNAcentral.
AUGUGUAGGCUUGAAAGGCACCAGGAACGAUUCUACAGCAAGGGGCCAUGGUCUGUUAACCAUUUUUUCCUAUCACACCUCACCAUCUAUAGAAGAGGGCAAUUUUCCUGGAUGAGGAGAGAGCUAAGCGUGCCAGUAGCCAUUGGUCAUGACCCGUACCGUGGUAGCAUGACAUCCCUGCAGAGUCGGAAUCAACAGCGCACGAGAGAGGGCUCGUGUCUCAAGAUGAACAACUCGCUGUCCAUGAAGGUGAAGGUCGCGGGAUGGGGCGGCAUGGUGAGCCAUUUCCUGUCCUUGGCCUACAACUGGAGGCCUUCCAGCUCAUGA